GACGAUGCCAUGAGGGCCCUCUGUCUAGGGUGGAGGUGCUGUGGCUCCAACGGCAGCUAGGACAGCCCACUCCCUUCCAUGGCCAUGCAGAGCAGGCUCAAUGACGAGACAGGCACUCGGGGAUCAAGGGGAGUAGCAGGGGGGGGGGGGGGGGGGCACUGUGGCGCAAGCAGUAGCCCCGACCAUAUACAGGCUUGAACGCCCACGGGGACACAGGUUCGAAUCCGACCCGCUGUCAUUUCCCAAUCCCACUCCCCAACUCUUCUCUCCAUCUCAUUUCCUGUCCAAACCUUCACUGUCCUCUCAUUAAAAAGGCAAAAAGCCCAAAAACAAAUCCUUAAAAAAAGAAAAGGGGGAGUAGCAAGGGGAAUUUACAGGCUCGUGACAGUAACUGGGGAGCCACCAUCGUUGAGCCACCAUGUAGCAUCUGUACUUUGGUCACAUGGGGCUUUAGGCAUUGCUGCCCCCGUGUCGACGGAAGAAAUGGAUCACCGUCGUCGGACAACAGGUUGUUCCAACUCCGCCCCAGGGGGUCCAUUCCACCCCUUGUGCAGGCAGCUCGGGGUCAGCAUGCAGCGGAGGCGUUUUAUCCCUCUGCUCAGCCCAGUCCGCACUGCAGGGUUUUGCUUUCCUGGGACUGACCACCAGGGCAUGGUAAACUCCAGUUUUGCUGGUGUGUUGCUACCUAGCUUUGCAGAUGAAGUGUCUUUAGCUUUGCUAAUAGGAGUUCACUAUGGCUAAUGUUUAAUGACAAGCCAGGAGAAGCUAUUGUUCAGCGUAACUCUAGUUUGAUAACUAGCCAGUUUGACUGAAUUAUAACCACUGCUUGGGGACAGACUGGUUAAAGAUAGUUGUCGUUGUGGUAGUUGUUAAAGGCCGUGUCCAAUACCGCCAUGUAAGGAAUCAGCUCUGCUGUGUGGACAAUUAGAAUAAAACGUAGGCAGCCAUGACAAGAGGUUGCUUCUGAGCAGGAAGAGGUUGUUGAUUGACAUUCUGCCACUCUGGCAUCGUAUUAUAAAGCAGACUGGCCCCUCCCGGACAUCAGAUGUGGCCAGCCAAACAUGUCUGGUGUAGUGGUAGGGGGCCUAGUAGUGACAUAACCCCAUAGUGAACGAAAGAACCAUGACCACAUGAAGCUGGGAAGUAAAUCAUGAACCUAAGCACAGGAACACACGUGAGAUCCAGUUUCUAACCAGUGGGAUAGGCGAAAAAAAGGGAAUGAUUUCCUUUUAAAGUGUGCUUUUAAAGUGUGCUUUUAAAAUGCCGUGGGCCCCUGUGGUAGGCAUGUCAGCACGGGGCGAAACUGGGGACGUCAAUGUUUGCCAUCAAUCAGCCAAUCAGCCCCCGGAGACAGUGUAGACCUUCACAUACAACCCGCCAAUGCAUUCUGCACGAACACCACAACAACCCUCACUGCACAAGCACAAGAAGACUGGCCCAAAACACAUCCAAGCCAACAAACCUAUCCCAUGAAAAUACAGCGUUUUGGAGAGACUGUAGUGACUACACCUCCACCCCUCCACCCCACCCCACCCCACCCCCAGUCCACUCAAACACUACUCCAUAAUUACAGUUCUGGUGGCGUGACUGCCAUGACAGACAAACACAAAACAACUCCGGCUGAGGCUCCGCCCAGCUCACUGAGAUGUUGCUUAGAACCUGCUGGAAAAUUCCGCUGGCCUUCAGAGAGAAAGAGAGAGAGAAAGCUUGCUGUCAGACGCGUACAUGACAUGCUUGUGUUUCUGAUAAGGGCUAAACCAAAAUGCCUCACCAGGUUUGUCUCAUACACACUCUAACUCUCCCUCACACACUCACUCACACACACACUCACGCACACACUCACGCACACACUCAUGCACACACACACACACACUCAUGCACACACACACACACACACACACACACACAAACACAGGGGAGAAAGCCCUUCCUGGACACAUGCAGAGCACAAAGCAGCCUUUAUGUCCCCCGAAUUCAUCUUCACCGAUAUUUAUAAACCCAGUGAAAGGAGACUUUAUGGAGUGGACAGUGUGCUUUGCUGACAGUGUGCUUUGCUGUAACCAAGAUUAAGCAUUCAAAUAACUUCUGUACCACUCUACACUCGUUUGUGUAUGUGUGUGUGUGUGUGUGUGUGUGUGUGUGUGUGUGUGUGUGUGUGUGUGUGUGUGUGUGUAGGUAUUGUGCCGCCACAGUCCAUAUUCAUGUGAUGCAAAUCAACGACCUCCGUUUAUACCUGCGGCUCCCAGAGACACUAAGAACUUAAGCUUCGUGUUUUAUGCAAACGUGUUCCCAGAGUUCUCCAGGCUAGCGUUCCCUCGUGCAGCCACAGAUGCACGCUCACCUGUCACAGAUAGGUUAAACGCGCUGGGCAAAUUUAGCAGGCAGAGUUGCUGUUUAACCUGAAAAAAAAAAAACACAAAGUAACGACCGCAAAGUCUACUGAUGGAAGGGCUCGAGCCUCAUGUUUUCGGGCAAAAGUGGUUUGCUCAUCAGCUGACACAAAAUACAAAAAUUGAAAGUAAGAAGUAGGACACAUGGGUUUAGAGAUUCACAACACGGACAACAAACCUUUUCCAGGUACCUGGCUGGUGCAUACACCUCAAUGAACUGCCCACAAUUAGUAUCUACUGAUAAUGUGGCAAAUCUGGAAGAUAGUCAAUGCAACACAGAUAUUUCAUGGUUAGAAAUAAAGUGCCAAGCUGACAACACGAAGGGUGUGUCACAAAAAAAAAAUAUAGGCUUUUCAACCACCAAGUUUCGUAAACAAGUUGACUCCAAAGCUCUGAAAGCCAUUAUGGUUUUCAAUUUCGAUUACAUCAUUAAGAGCCAGCGUGGGAGACAGCUGCCUUAACCGUUUGAGGCAAGAGAACAAGAGAUUGCUUGAGUCAUCCAUAAUUAAUAUUUUAAUCGUCUUUCUCCCAGGCAUCACUGUUCAGUGAGCAUUGGAGAUCGAUGUUUCAUCUGUCCUGUAUUCCUCAGGAGCAGUGAUGCUUAUCUCAUGCGAAGAAAAGGCUAGGACCUUUUCACAGAUGCACCACACACAUAACCACAAUACAAAAACCUACAGGCUAAUCCUGAAACGAAAACAUGUAUACUUGCAUUCACAGCCCAAAAGCACACCUAUAUUCCUCCAAUUCAAAUAUUCAUGGAAGAGAACCAACACAUUACCAAAACAAACUCCAACUUGCCUUGUGAUGUCACCCCGGUGUCAAACAGACAGGCCAACGCAGUCCAGAGGCAAACAGGGCAAACAGCGGUGAUGGGACCCCAGCAGAGCCGAACGCAGGAGUGGCUGGGACCCCGGCAGAUCCAGACGCAGGGGUGUGUUUGUCUGAGAGGAGCUUGCCUUGUACUAAUGUUAUUUUUGAGCCUCAGCCAAACUUUCUCCUAGAAACUGAGCAGCAAAAACUAAGCUAACAGAGUCUAAAUGCACCUGGUGUCUUCCUUGGCCCGGGGGAGGGGGGGGGGGCGGGUAUGGUUGUGUUGGUGGUGGGCUCACCGACCAAUUUUCCAGGAAAGAAUGAUUUGAGCUUCAACCAUACGGCAUAAAAUGAAGCCACUAACAAUCAGCUUAGCCGUUAAACUGUUUGUCGUCACGUACUGACAAUUUUGGCAGAUGUGGAAAAUAACCUUGUAGGACCAGAAGGCUUAUCUAUGACAGUUGCCUCCAGCGAGUUGAUUGGCCGGGGGGGGGGGGG
Molecule: long non-coding RNA, 3698 nt
Organism: Clupea harengus (Atlantic herring)
Lineage: Eukaryota; Metazoa; Chordata; Actinopteri; Clupeiformes; Clupeidae
Source: Ensembl